UGAGGAAUAUUGGACAAUGGUCGGAAGACUGAUCCAGCCAUGCCGCGUGCAGGAUGAAGGUCCUAUGGAUUGUAAACUGCUUUUGUAAGGGAAGAAUAAGGAGUACGUGUACUUUGAUGACGGUACCUUACGAAUAAGCAUCGGCUAACUCCGUGCCAGCAGCCGCGGUAAUACGGAGGAUGCGAGCGUUAUCCGGAAUCAUUGGGUUUAAAGGGUCCGUAGGCGGGCUGAUAAGUCAGAGGUGAAAGCGCUUAGCUCAACUAAGCAACUGCCUUUGAAACUGUCAGUCUUGAAUGAUUGUGAAGUAGUUGGAAUGUGUAGUGUAGCGGUGAAAUGCUUAGAUAUUACACAGAACACCGAUAGCGAAGGCAUAUUACUAACAAUUUAUUGACGCUGAUGGACGAAAGCGUGGGGAGCGAACAGGAUUAGAUACCCUGGUAGUCCACGCUGUAAACGAUGGAUACUAGCUGUUUGGAGCAAUCUGAGUGGCUAAGCGAAAGUGAUAAGUAUCCCACCUGGGGGAGUACGCACGCAAGUGU
This 539-nucleotide ribosomal RNA is filed under the name uncultured bacterium. RNAcentral describes it as "bacterial SSU rRNA". It matches the Rfam family "Bacterial small subunit ribosomal RNA", at positions 355 to 895 of the family's 1533-position model. The record is from RNAcentral.